GAUGAACGCUGGCGGCGUGCCUAAUACAUGCAAGUCGAGCGAACGGACGAGAAGCUUGCUUCUCUGAUGUUAGCGGCGGACGGGUGAGUAACACGUGGAUAACCUACCUAUAAGACUGGGAUAACUUCGGGAAACCGUAGCUAAUACCGGAUAAUAUUUUGAACCGCAUGGUUCAAAAGUGAAAGACGGUCUUGCUGUCACUUAUAGAUGGAUCCGCGCUGCAUUAGCUAGUUGGUAAGGUAACGGCUUACCAAGGCAACGAUGCAUAGCCGACCUGAGAGGGUGAUCGGCCACACUGGAACUGAGACACGGUCCAGACUCCUACGGAAGGCAGCAGUAGGGAAUCUUCCGCAAUGGGCGAAAGCCUGACGGAGCAACGCCGCGUGAGUGAUGAAGGUCUUCGGAUCGUAAAACUCUGCUAUUAGGGAAGAACAUAUGUGUAAGUAACUGUGCACAUCUUGACGGUACCUAAUCAGAAAGCCACGGCUAACUACGUG
Molecule: ribosomal RNA, 497 nt
Filed under: uncultured bacterium
Lineage: Bacteria
Description: partial 16S ribosomal RNA
Rfam family: Bacterial small subunit ribosomal RNA
Source: RNAcentral